CAUAAGCAAGAGAUCUGCAGUUGUGUCUGCCAGCAAUGCAGCUAGGAGGAAGAGAACUCACCCAGAGAUGCCUGAUCCAGCUACGAUCCUCACGGAGCUGAUAAUCCUAUCAGAAGCACAGCUUUCAGACUGAUGGUUGCCAGCUCCAAAAUGUCACCAGAGAUAGAAGUGCUGAAGAUCUGUAUGGAUGUUUCCUGAUAACAGCAGGAACUUGCAUUAACAACUGCCCAGCUGCAGUCCUGGAAGCUAGAAGGACAUAAAGGUGCAGAGUGGUGCUGCAGAUAAGAGAGACUUGCCGAGGAGCAAAGUGCAGCAGUUCUUGUUCAGCAGGUCAUUUCUUGCCAGUUCAGAAGUCUGGAAAUCACAGACUGCGGAAGCACACUGCCUUAACCUUAACCACAGAUGUGCUGCCAUAAUUGCAGGUGUCGUUUAAGCGUGGAGCCAGGUCUGCUGUAAGUGACUCUUUUUCUCUGCUGGAAUUAAUGAACAAAUCCUGCAGCAUCGUUGACUGAGCAAAUCAGCAGUCAGUUAAGUGCAUCCUGUCAGCAGAAGGUAAU
This 557-nucleotide long non-coding RNA is filed under the name Phasianus colchicus (ring-necked pheasant). RNAcentral describes it as "lncRNA (ENSPCLG00000010178.1)". Lineage: Eukaryota; Metazoa; Chordata; Aves; Galliformes; Phasianidae. The record is from RNAcentral.